UAGCCUAACGGCUGAACCAGCAACUUGGAGGAAUGUAUAGCAAUUGCUAUUUGCACUAAAUGUUUUAGUGUAAAAUCGACUUUGUCGAAUAAAAUUCUGGAUAGAAUUAUGAUAAUGACAUUACCUAUUCAUAAGUCUUGACCAAAUUACGUGCCAGCAGUCGCGGUAAUACGUAGAAGACAAGUGUUAUUCAUCUUUAAUAGGUUUAAAGGGUACUUAGACGGUAAAGAAAGCCUUCAAAAGGGACUAGUUUGCUAGAGUUUUAUGUGAAGGAGUUUUAAAGUACUACUGGUGUAGAGAUGAAAUUCAGUUAUACCUUACAUGGCACAGGUUAAGGCGAAAGCAUCUUCUUAUGUAAAAACUGACGUUGAAGGACGAAGGCUUUGUGUCUCGAACAGGAUUAGAUACCCUAGUAGUCUAAGCAGAAAAUGAUGAAUGUCAUAGAUUAGAUUUAAUUUGAUCUGUAAAUGAAAGUGUAAGCAUUCCACCUCAAGAGUAAUUUGGCAACAUUGGAACUGAAAUCAUUAGACCGUUUCUGAAACCAGUAGUGAAGUAUGUUGUUUAAUUUGAUAAUCCGCAAAAAACCUUACCACAAUUUGAAUAGAUAUAUUUUAUCAUACAAGCGUUGCACGGCUGUCUUCAGUUAAUGUCGUGAGACUUUGGUUAGUUCCAUUAAAUUAACGUAAACCCUUACUUUAUUUUUAUAUAAAGUAGUUCACCGCUAUAUUGGAUGUGAUAAUAGGGAUCAAGACAAGUCAUCAUG
Molecule: ribosomal RNA, 763 nt
Filed under: Athallia pyracea
Lineage: Eukaryota; Fungi; Ascomycota; Lecanoromycetes; Teloschistales; Teloschistaceae
Description: SSU rRNA
Rfam family: Bacterial small subunit ribosomal RNA
Source: RNAcentral